CUGGAGUUGAAGUGCACGGAUGACUUGGAACUCAUGGCGCUGCUUAUACAGCACUGGAAGAAGUGUUGGAGAAGGCCUUCAAGCAGAGUUUGACUUAAUGGGCACUAAGAAACAUGAUCACAAGGGGCCAUUCCGUGCUCAGGGGGCAGACAAGAUGGCACUCCUGAUAAGGAAUCACCUACACCAGCCAUCCUGAGGACCUAUAGCUCAAACCUCAAAUAUGUGAGGAGGAGGAGGAAGAGGAGUGUUGGAGGAAAGCAAUCUCUCAGAGCUCUGACAAUUCCAGUCACAGCCUCUUAGUUCA
Long non-coding RNA from Gallus gallus (chicken), 304 nucleotides. The record is from Ensembl. NCBI's taxonomy places the organism in Eukaryota, Metazoa, Chordata, Aves, Galliformes, Phasianidae.